Long non-coding RNA from Osmia bicornis bicornis, 1632 nucleotides. RefSeq lists it as uncharacterized. The record is from RefSeq and is a predicted model, not a curated record. The transcript is spliced from 5 exons. NCBI's taxonomy places the organism in Eukaryota, Metazoa, Arthropoda, Insecta, Hymenoptera, Megachilidae.
UAGGCGUUCCGUUCCGUUCCGUUCCGUUCUGUUCGAGGCAGAAUUGAGAAAGAGUAGAAGACUGUUCUCUCGCAAUAGAUAAAAUUUCAUGCAUAUGAUGGCCUUUCGAUUAUGGUAAUGAUCAUUCACGCACGGAUUCUACAGGAGGACGAAGCAAUCUUCUGCUGAUUGUUAAGGUAGAGAUAAAGGAAAGCUCGGCAGCUGGUCAAAGAUCGUUGCGGAUCUCUAUAGAUCCUACAAUAUAAAUCGUACGGUCUGCCUUUCUAAAACACGUGCCAGCCACAUGUUGCACAAAAGGGGAAUCCUCAGUGAUCCUUUCGAGCAUCGUAGCGUAAGUCGUAGUCACAAAGGAGCUUUAGGAGGCCAUAAAUGAUUCUCUUUCGGUCGUAGAGAUCGAAGAGCAGCAGAUGUUUUGUCGCCUUCGUAUCUUCGAAGACGUUCCUCCACCUUGAUCCAGACGGCAAGAAAGAGAAGAACAGAAAGAAAAGAAAAGAAAAGAAAGGAAAAGAAAGGAAAAGAAAGAAAAGAAUUUACGAUUGGUCCUUUGAUGAUUUCUUCCAAAUUAUCGGAAAGUUUCCAGGUAAAGGAUCGAAGGAAUAUGUUUCAAUUUUCUUCCCCAGUGGAAUUUUGGAAGUUAAUCUUGGGCAGCUGUGCAACAGUUUGCCUCUAUGGUGCAUCUAAUGAUUAGUACAGUCUACGACGAGGAUAGAGGAACUGAAAGAUUCUUGAGAAGGAACACGUGGUUGCGACCAUCUGUUGGCAUCCUGCUCCGGUUAUAACCCGACCUAAGCUGGCCCUUUUACUUACUUGUAGAGAAACACACUUUUCCGACAACUUUUCCAUUACUGUAAUAUGAUAUCGAAAAAAACGAUAUCAUCGUAAAAGAUGGGGUCACGUGGAACGUUUAAGCGGUCCGCUUUGAGUUCGCGGUAAAAGGUGUUCGAAGCAGGUAAAGCAUUCCUACUGAAACAGCUCUACCUGACCCACGCUGCCUGGCUUUCACGCUGCAUUUUCGGCCCAACAACAGUUUCUCUCCAUGUACGAGAUCUAAAAGGAACUACAUACAUACAAGAUACCUAAAAUGUAUAAUAUGUACCUACAUAGAUGCUAAGUGAAAAAUAUGUCAAGAAGAAUUGAAGAAAGAAAGUUGUCGAAGGAAAACGAGGAGAAAGAUGUCCCGAAACUGUCUUCUAAAAUCUUACUUAUUCGACUGGACGGCGAAUUACUGUACAUAUGUACAGUAUGUACAGUAUGUACAUAUGUACAGUAUGUAUAUUGAAAGAAAAUCCUAAGGAACGCGUCGUACGAGUCUCAGAAUUAUUGAAAGCGGUGCUCGAAAGCCCUGGCUUAAGAACCCAAUAUCGAGGGUUCUCCAGGAAGCUUUAGAUAUUGCGCAUCUACCAAAAAUCGUUCCGUGAAACGUGCUUUCUCCGUAUCGGACGAUAUUUCUCUAACAAGCAGUUUAAAGAAGGACAAGGAUAAAAGACAUAGGAGAGGAAACGUGUGGCGAGACUGUUUCUUCUCUGGAAUAUCCGGUUCGCCACGCGUACUGCGUGUGUCUUGCUUCACGUCACAACACACACCUGCUUCCUUACAGCUGUUCCCUGGUUCGUGGUGGCAAACUCUCUUGUC